GGGGAAAUAAAUUCUGAGAGAGACAAGUGAAGAAGUGCUGCACUGGAUAGCACUAGCAUAUCUUGUCCACAUAGCACAUGGCUGUUUGCAGUGACUGCUUUUUCCUGGAUAGGGGGGUCCCCGAAUAUCAGAAGUUCAGUACAAGUUGUUAAAUGAUUUUGUUGGUUGAUAAACAGUACAAGAAUUUAGUGGAAGGGAAAUAAUGAUAUCCUAUCUUGUCACUACCUUGUAAUAUUAGAACAUAGAGGAAAAUAAGAGUAAACAGCCAUUUUGGUCCCUGAUUGUGUUCACUUAUGACGGAUUGGUCCUCAUACUUUGGAAAUUGUUGUUUUUCAUCCCUGAAUGUGUUGCCGUCGGUCAAGUUAGUCCUUGGUUCAGUUUUCCGUUAGUCCUUGAGACGGAAAAAUCCAAAUGGCAUGUUUUUUUUUCCACACAAGCGUCCUACGUGGCACAUUUUCAUUUCUCCUCCCUAAAAAGUAAAAACAAUGUCAAACCGGUCCCUCAAGCUUCCACACACACUCUCUCUCUCUCUCCUUCCUCCUGCUCUUCUUCAUCAUCAUCAUGUUCAUCUUCAUCAUCUUCUCCAGACUUCAUCAUCAUCAAUUCAUUAUCUUCUUCAUUUCAAUCACGCCCCUUGCCUCUCAUGCUCUCCUUCACCCUCUGUAUCAUUCUUCUCCCUUCACCCUACGUUCAUCCUCUUUUCUCCUCCUUCCUCCAAACCUGCCUCAACUCAGAUCCGCACCACUGUAACAUGCACCGCGCAAUCAGGACCAGAUCGCGACCCAUGCCUCCAAAUUUUGCAUCUUUUGGGUCAACAAUGCAUCUUUACAUCCAAUGAGGCUUGGAUCUGGUGGUUUUUGCUUGGUUUUGAAAUGAACAGUGGUUGGGUGAAGAAGAAGCAAAGUUGCAGAGACGGUAGAGGAUGAAGAAGAAGAAGGGGGUUUUGAUUUUGACAAACCAAAGUGUGAUUUUCUGAAACCAUCGUGCUUACACCUCGUUGAAGAAGCCUUCAAUUUCAUCUACCAGUAAUCCUUGCAUCCUUUUCCCAGAUUUCGUUUUUCCCCUUCAAUUUCAUCUACCAGUAAUUUUGCUCUGUCAUUUUGUUGUUCCAUUGCUGUGUAAUUUGGGAGGAAUUUUUUCCUCUAACUCUUAAUAUAUGAUAUCAGUUUCUUUUGCAAAAUAUAUAUAUAGCUCAAAUCACUUGUAGCCUUAACUGACAAAGCAAAGUAAUAUGCUUUGAGCUUGACUAUAGUGUGUUACAGUACUUGCUGGAAGAAGCUUUCUUGCGUCUGUUGCUGUAAUUGUGAGUUUUCGAUGUGAGAUUUUUUAUGAAGAUGAUAAUAAAGAAAAUCUGGGGUUUAUGAAGAAAAUGAAGAUGUAGGGAUGAAGAAUAAGAAAAUCUGGGUUUAAUAAGAAAAAGAAGAUGAAGGAUGAUGAAGAUGAACAUGAUGAUGAUGAUGAUGAAGAAGAGCUAGAGGAAGAAGCAUAAGUUAGGGACGAGUUUGACAUUAUUUUUUAGGAGGGAAAAUGAAAAUGUGCCACGUAGGACGCUUGUGUGGAAAAAAAACUUGUCAUUUGGAUUUUUCCGUCUCAAGGACUAACGGAAAACUGAACCAAGGACUAACUUGACCGACGGCAACACAUUCAGGGAUGAAAAACAACCAUUUCCAAAGUAUGAGGACCAGUCCAUCAUAAGUGAACACAAUCAGGGACCAAAAUGGCUGUUUACUCGGAAAAUAAAGACAACAGUGCUCAACGGUUACCAUAUCAAAAUCCUUACAAGGAGGACAUAACCCAAUUUAUUCUCAGCUCUUAGUUCUAGUUCCAAGCUACAACUGAACUACAUAUGAAGGUUAAGUUCAUGUAUGGAAAACUUUAUUCUAAAGCCAAAAUCAAUUCAUUUGUGAGUGAGCAGCUUGUGAGUGUUGAAAUUGAUUCUGAAGAGAAAAAAACUUAUCGAAA
Molecule: long non-coding RNA, 1962 nt
Organism: Lotus japonicus
Lineage: Eukaryota; Viridiplantae; Streptophyta; Magnoliopsida; Fabales; Fabaceae
Exons: 2
Source: RefSeq, a predicted model, not a curated record